GACGAACGCUGGCGGCGUGCUUAACACAUGCAAGUCGAACGGAAAGGCCUUCUUUCCCUUGUGUGUUGCGGUUACUCGAGUGUCGAACGGGUGAGUGUCACGUGAGUUAUCUUCUCCCAACUCUUGUAUAAGCCUGGGAAACUGCCGCUAAUUCCCUAUAGGUCUGCAGUGUGGGUCGGGUGGUUGCAAACGAUGUUCUAGGGGUUGCGGCUGAGCUCGCUGCCUAUCAGCUUGUUGGUUGGGUAAUGGCCGACCAAUGCGGCGACGGGUAGGCGGCCUGGGAUGGUGGGCGGGAACAUUGGGCCUGAGACACGGGCAAGAAUCCUACGGGAGGAAGCAGUGGGGAAGAUUGCACAAUGGGCGGAAGACUGAUGCAGCGACGCCGCGUCAGGAAUGACGGGCUUCGGGUGGUAAACUCCUUUCGACAGAGCGGAAGCCACCUGGUUGGAGGGGUGGUGACGGUAGUGGUAGAAGAAGCACCGGCUAACUACGUG
Molecule: ribosomal RNA, 494 nt
Filed under: uncultured bacterium
Lineage: Bacteria
Description: partial 16S ribosomal RNA
Rfam family: Bacterial small subunit ribosomal RNA
Source: RNAcentral